Non-coding RNA from Sander lucioperca (pikeperch), 1158 nucleotides. Lineage: Eukaryota; Metazoa; Chordata; Actinopteri; Perciformes; Percidae. The record is from the annotation of a RefSeq genome assembly.
AAUUGUCCAUUCUAUGAAGGAAAAUGUCAUCACUAUAUUAUGUUAGUAAUAAUAAUUAUAGUGAAUAGACUUUGUACAUUAAUCCAUAAUGUGUGUCCAUAAUUGUCUUUAGUCUCCAUAUAAGACGUGCUGACAUGAGAUGAUCCGUGUGUUUGAUAUGAAGGUGAAUACAGUAUAUGUAGUGAACUUUGUGCUGUAUUGAUGAGUAGUUUAGUGAUCAGAGUCCAUGUAGUUUCCAGGAUCAGACUGAAUGCAGUGCUGUAAGCUGCUGUUGACUGUGUGAAUGUGUGUCUGUGCUGCUUGUUGCUGCUGUCAAACUUCAGAUGAGCCGGUAGUGAAGCCCGUGGUGAGCGUGUACCCAGCAGCAUCCAGAGCCCACCUGGAGGGGAAGAGCUCCCUGCUGUGUCUGGCCUCAGCCAUGUUUCCUCCUCUGGUCCAGUUCUCCUGGAAAAGACGAAAGGAGAAUGGUCCUCUGGAGGAUCUGCUCCCUGAUGAGGGAGAGCAGCUGGAGAUCAGAGAGUCAGGACGCACCGCCUCCAUCUUGCUGAUCAAUCAGCAAAAGAGCAGCACAUAUAAAUACCGCUGCUACGUCCAGCAUGAGGGGGGCACAGUGAAGGCCCAAACAGAACAAGAGGUUCCAGCUUCUGUCCCGUCUCAGUACCAAGUGAAGUUGUUCUGUCUGCUGUACACACAGCUGAUAGUGAAGAGUCUGGUGUACUGCUGUGGACUCUCUCUGCUGAUGAUCCUCAGAAACAAGGGACCGUCCACCAACUGAACACAUGCUGACUGACUGUUUUCUGCUCAACUUUUCUCGCCAUUAAAUCUCAUCAAUUCAUCUCAUUUAUCACUUUAAUCACUAUUCACAAAUAUCAAUUAUGUUGUUCAGAUGUAGUUGUCAUCUGAACAAUAUAAAUACAUAUAUAUCUUAACAGUUACUAAGUUUAAAUUCUGUGGUGUUUUUUGAUACUUUAGUUUAUUUCUACUUUUAAUUGUGACUUGUAUAAUGAUAAUUUGAAUAAUCAGCUGUCUGGUAGAUAUUUCAUAGUUCAUAGUAUUUUUUCUGUUCUUGUGUUUCUCUGUAAUACAUUAUGCAGAGUGUGGCAGCUUUGUCAAUUUUUUUCAGUGUAACAUUAACAAAAAUAAAAUAGUUAUAACAGA